This 306-nucleotide ribosomal RNA is filed under the name uncultured soil bacterium. RNAcentral describes it as "bacterial SSU rRNA". It matches the Rfam family "Bacterial small subunit ribosomal RNA", at positions 1028 to 1328 of the family's 1533-position model. The record is from RNAcentral.
GCGUGCACAGGUGGUGCAUGGUUGUCGUCAGCUCGUGUCGUGAGAUGUUGGGUUAAGUCCCCGAAAGAGCGCAACCCCCCUUUCCCAGUUGCCACCCGGUUAUGGCGGGGAAUUUUGGGGGACCGCCCGGGCCAAACCCGAGGGAGGUGGGGGAGAAGUUAAGUUCUCAUGGCCCUUUUGGCCCGGGGCUACAAACUUGUUCCAAUGGCGGGUACAAAGGGCUAGCAAACCAGCAGGUGGAGGCGAAUCCCAAAAAGCCGGUCUCAGUUCGGAUUGGGGUCUGCAACUGCACCCCCGGGACGCCGC